Molecule: small RNA, 27 nt
Filed under: Bombyx mori (domestic silkworm)
Lineage: Eukaryota; Metazoa; Arthropoda; Insecta; Lepidoptera; Bombycidae
Description: ovarian small RNA-4765
Source: RNAcentral
CCAGAAUACGAGGGGCUGCGCACUACC